This 355-nucleotide ribosomal RNA is filed under the name uncultured bacterium. Its description in RNAcentral is "partial 16S ribosomal RNA". It matches the Rfam family "Bacterial small subunit ribosomal RNA", at positions 338 to 690 of the family's 1533-position model. The record is from RNAcentral.
CCUACGGGGGGCAGCAGGGAGGAAUAUUGGUCAAUGGACGAGAGUCUGAACCAGCCAAGUAGCGUGAAGGAUGACGGCCCUAUGGGUUGUAAACUUCUUUUAUAGGGGAAUAAAAUGUGCCACGUGUGGGAUUUUGUAUGUACCAUAUGAAUAAGGAUCGGCUAACUCCGUGCCAGCAGCCGCGGUAAUACGGAGGAUCCGAGCGUUAUCCGGAUUUAUUGGGUUUAAAGGGAGCGUAGAUGGGUUGUUAAGUCAGUUGUGAAAGUUUGCGGCUCAACCGUAAAAUUGCAAUUGAUACUGGCAGUCUUGAGUACAGUUGAGGUCGGCGGACUUCGUGGUGUAGCGGUGACAUGCU